UGUUCUCUGGAGUGUACGCCAGUCGUUAUAGUCCCUCGAGCCUAUGCGAUGUACCCAGGGGGCCAAAUGCUAGCCAACCCCGUGUGCAUGUCCGUGCGUCGGAAAGCCUGACGGGUUGGCUGCGGCCACCCACCUGAACCAAUAGGUUCAGGGCCAGAACGACAGCGGCAUUCUGGGGAACAC
This 183-nucleotide non-coding RNA is filed under the name Vreelandella venusta. Its description in RNAcentral is "Halomonas venusta 6S RNA". It matches the Rfam family "6S / SsrS RNA". Rfam says of the family: E. coli 6S RNA was the first non coding RNA to be sequenced, but its function was unknown until recently. It consists of 184 nucleotides that fold into an extended hairpin structure with a large single-stranded internal bulge. RNAcentral also lists the same sequence under 1 other name. The record is from RNAcentral. Lineage: Bacteria; Pseudomonadati; Pseudomonadota; Gammaproteobacteria; Oceanospirillales; Halomonadaceae.